Molecule: non-coding RNA, 104 nt
Filed under: marine eukaryotic metagenome
Description: S-adenosyl methionine (SAM) riboswitch
Rfam family: SAM (S-adenosyl methionine) riboswitch aptamer
About the family: SAM-IV is a mRNA element that regulates gene expression via direct sensing of S-adenosylmethionine (SAM or AdoMet). SAM-IV riboswitches share conserved nucleotide positions with the previously described SAM-I riboswitches sequence analysis and molecular recognition experiments suggest that SAM-I and SAM-IV riboswitches share similar ligand binding sites, but have different scaffolds.
Source: RNAcentral
GGUCAAGAGAUCCAGCGUCAAGCCCCGGCUUGCUGGACGGCAACCCUCCAACCGCGGUGGGGUGCUCCCGGUGGAGACCUGGCCCCUGGUGGGCAAGCGCGGGU